AAUAUACUCCCUCUGUUCCAUAAUUCUCGUCGAAAUCUUACAUGUAUCUAGACACUUUUUAGGAAUAGAUACAUCCAUUUCUGGGCAAAUUUGAGACAAGAAUUAUGGAACUGAGGGAGUAGUAU
This is a non-coding RNA of Brachypodium distachyon (stiff brome), 125 nucleotides long. Lineage: Eukaryota; Viridiplantae; Streptophyta; Magnoliopsida; Poales; Poaceae. The record is from Rfam.